This 301-nucleotide ribosomal RNA is filed under the name uncultured bacterium. Its description in RNAcentral is "partial 16S ribosomal RNA". It matches the Rfam family "Bacterial small subunit ribosomal RNA", at positions 509 to 807 of the family's 1533-position model. The record is from RNAcentral.
CAGCAGCCACGGUAAUACGUAGGUGGCAAGCGUUGUCCGGAAUUAUUGGGCGUAAAGGGCUCGCAGGCGGUUUCUUAAGUCUGAUGUGAAAGCCCCCGGCUCAACCGGGGAGGGUCAUUGGAAACUGGGAAACUUGAGUGCAGAAGAGGAAAGUGGAAUUCCACGUGUAGCGGUGAAAUGCGUAGAGAUGUGGAGGAACACCAGUGGCGAAGGCGACUCUCUGGUCUGUAACUGACGCUGAGGAGCGAAAGCGUGGGGAGCGAACAGGAUUAGAUACCCCAGUAGUCCCUGUCUCUUAUAC